RNAcentral lists this ribosomal RNA (372 nucleotides) under uncultured organism. RNAcentral's name for it is "partial 16S ribosomal RNA". It matches the Rfam family "Bacterial small subunit ribosomal RNA", at positions 527 to 896 of the family's 1533-position model. The record is from RNAcentral.
GUAGGUGGCAAGCGUUGUCCGGAAUUAUUGGGCGUAAAGCGCGCGCAGGCGGUUCUUUAAGUCUGAUGUGAAAGCCCACGGCUCAACCGUGGAGGGUCAUUGGAAACUGGAGAACUUGAGUAGAGAAGAGGAAAGCGGAAUUCCACGUGUAGCGGUGAAAUGCGUAGAGAUGUGGAGGAACACCAGUGGCGGAGGCGGCUUUCUGGUCUGUAACUGACGCUGAGGCGCGAAAGCGUGGGGAGCAAACAGGAUUAGAUACCCUGGUAGUCCACGCCGUAAACGAUGAGUGCUAAGUGUUAGGGGGUUUCCGCCCCCCUUAGUGCUGCAGCUAACGCAUUAAGCACUCCGCCUGGGAGUACGGCCGCAAGGCUG